This 377-nucleotide ribosomal RNA is filed under the name uncultured bacterium. Its description in RNAcentral is "bacterial SSU rRNA". It matches the Rfam family "Bacterial small subunit ribosomal RNA", at positions 521 to 896 of the family's 1533-position model. The record is from RNAcentral.
UAAUACGUAGGGGGCAAGCGUUGUCCGGAAUCAUUGGGCGUAAAGAGCGUGUAGGCGGUCCGGUAAGUCGGCUGUGAAAGUCCAGGGCUCAACCCUGGGAUGCCGGUCGAUACUGCCGGACUAGAGUUCGGAAGAGGCGAGUGGAAUUCCCGGUGUAGCGGUGAAAUGCGCAGAUAUCGGGAGGAACACCUAUGGCGAAGGCAGCUCGCUGGGACGUUACUGACGCUGAGACGCGAAAGCGUGGGGAGCAAACAGGAUUAGAUACCCUGGUAGUCCACGCUGUAAACGAUGGGCACUAGGUGCCGGCGGUCUUGAUCCCGUCGGUGCCGGCGCUAACGCAGUAAGUGCCCCGCCUGGGGAGUACGGUCGCAAGGCUG